UAUGUGAAUGAUAAGAGGAAAGGAAAGCAGAAAAAUCUUGACUCACAGCAUUUUACUAACAGAUUUUAUAUUUUCUUUUUCUUCCAGGAAAGAGGGAGAAAAAAGAAACUGACAGUGUUUAACAACCCAACCUAACUAAGAAAUCCACACUUCACAGUGAAGCGUGGUCAAAAGAAUUAGGAAAGAGGAAUAUGCAACCCCUCAUGAAUGAAAACAAACCAGGAAGAUUUUGCUCACCCUUAAAACAAAAAUCACCCUGAAAUGAAGAAGCGUCAUGGGAAAUUUCAGCCCAUCUGGUGAAUCUUUUAGAAAAUGAUGAGCAGCAAGCUAUUUUUAACUGUAACUAUUAUGAACACUGCUAAUGCCCACUUCAGUGUAAUCAGUUGUCUAAAUGUUGUUUUAAAUCUGUAAAGUAUCUACAAUCAGCACGUGUAAGAACUGCUAUAAAAGUAUGGUACACUGCAUUUUUGCUGUCAAAAUAAUUUUACAUCUUGAGAUUGAUAUUAAAGAAAACACUUUGUUCUUAAAACUUCUCCCUCUGC
Molecule: long non-coding RNA, 542 nt
Organism: Alligator mississippiensis (American alligator)
Lineage: Eukaryota; Metazoa; Chordata; Crocodylia; Alligatoridae
Exons: 2
Source: RefSeq, a predicted model, not a curated record